RNAcentral lists this ribosomal RNA (497 nucleotides) under uncultured bacterium. RNAcentral's name for it is "partial 16S ribosomal RNA". It matches the Rfam family "Bacterial small subunit ribosomal RNA", at positions 28 to 507 of the family's 1533-position model. The record is from RNAcentral.
GAUGAACGCUGGCGGCGUGCCUAAUACAUGCAAGUCGAGCGAACAGAUGAGGAGCUUGCUCCUCUGACGUUAGCGGCGGACGGGUGAGUAACACGUGGUUAACCUACCUAUAAGACUGGGAUAAUUUCGGGAAACCGGAGCUAAUACCGGAUAAUAUAUUGAACCGCAUGGUUCAUUCGUGAAAGACGGUUUUGCUGUCACUUAUAGACGGAUCCGCGCCGCAUUAGCUAGUUGGUAAGGUAACGGCUUACCAAGGCGACGAUGCGUAACCGACCAGAAGGCGGGAUCGGACAGAAUGGAAAUGAGGCACGAACGAGACACCUACGAGAGGCAGCAGAAGGGACUCUUCCGCAACGCGGGAAAGCCGGACGGUGCAACGCCGCGUAAGUGAUGACGGACCUCGGAUCGUAAAACUCUGUUAUUAGGGAAGAACAAAAGUGGAAGUAACUAUGAGCGUCUUGACGGUACCUGGUCAAAGAGCAACGGCUAACUACGUG